GGGGGGUUACUCAAGAGGCUGAAGAGGACGGUUUGCUAAAUCGUUAGGUCGGGAAACCCGGCGCGAGGGUUCGAAUCCCUUACCCCCCU
Molecule: transfer RNA, 89 nt
Filed under: Lactococcus cremoris
Lineage: Bacteria; Bacillati; Bacillota; Bacilli; Lactobacillales; Streptococcaceae
Also listed under: 1 other name
Description: tRNA-Ser
Rfam family: tRNA
About the family: Transfer RNA (tRNA) molecules are approximately 80 nucleotides in length. Their secondary structure includes four short double-helical elements and three loops (D, anti-codon, and T loops).
Source: RNAcentral